CAACAUCAAGGACGCUGAUGGAGUGAACAACAUUGAUCCUCUUGAUGUUCUACCAGGAAACCCUCUGGCAUUCAUAUCCAUGUCCAGCUCGAGGCAAAUACUGCUCUGGAGUGGCUUGAGAAACAUGACAAAGGGCCCAAGGUGACCGGUCUGACAGAUCUGUCAGAAUCUGUCAGACAGGCCACGCCCCCCGCCAUCUGGUGGUCUCUGGAGGAUGGAGUCCCAGGUAUUAGACGGUGUAGUCCCCCUCAUCCUGGUUCAUGGAGCAGCUCGCCCGCUUCCUGAUCUCGAUGGCCUCCUUGAUCCAUCAUUUAUGCUGCACGCUGAGCAUGGGCAAGAGAAAGAAGAGAAGAGAAAAGAAGAAGAGAAGAAAAUAAUUACUCAGCGUGGUCAAGAUCCAGUGUGCUGAAAAGAUAUGGAAGGACUUCACACAGCUACAGUAAAUACAGCAGUGAGCUGAAUGUGGACCACCAGCAUAUGAACCUAAUGAUUAAAAUCUCUCUCUGGUGUCCACUGAGAAACAAGUCACAUAAAUAAAAGUAGAAUUACAAGUUUGGUUUUUUUUUUAAUGGAGUUAUUAAAUAGUUAUUGUUUUCUAUGAUGACUGUGCAACAUCUAGAACUGCCUAUAUCAAAUGUAUUAGUUACAUAAAAUGCACUGUUUUUCAGCUACAGUUAGACCAUUUAACACUUUCAGUGAUUUUUAAUCAGAUAAGUCAUUGUUCUCUGUGUUUGUUGCCAUCUGUAUAUGAAAUGGUUUUCAUCAUAGGCUAAAUCAUACACAAGAAAUCUCUUAAAUGACCUCUCACCAUGAAUUAUAUUAAAAUGUCUCAGUAUCUGCUACUUCUCAGUGACCCGUCACAACAACAUAUUAGUUAAACAGAACAAUAAUCAACGUGUCGUAAACCAUUUAUCUGCAGGCAAAAUACAUAUAGCACUUUUGCAAAACUCUUCUACAGCAUUUGAGUGUGUGAGUUAAAGUGCGUCUCUAAGUAACAUAAGUUAGUGUAAUGUCCUCUGAAGUGCUGGAAACCCAGUUGUGUGUCAGUGUCUAUGUGUGUAUGUGUGUGUGUACUGAACUGCAGUAUCAAGAGCCUUAUUUUUUUAAACACACUGGUCAGCAGUGAGCUUUAAGUGAAAUCACAAAGCUCUUUCAGCAUAUAAAAAUCAAGACUGCAUGCUUCUUUACAAUGUGCUUAAUCAGAUGAAAUAACUGCUGUGUUCAUCUUGGACGGAAUGCCCCAAAUACAGAUUCAUCUGCUUUGCCCGUCCAGUUUUCCAUAGAGUCUAAAAACGGUACAAUGCUGUCACACCUAUUUUUACAAUACAAUAAAUACUCAAAGAACACUCACGGAACUCUCAUAAUGUGAUAUUUUACCAUAACAGAAUAAUCAGUUAUCUUGCUGAUUUGUAGACAUUCCUAAAAUUAGAACAUGCUGAAAUUAAUUUGAAUACUUAACAGAUUUAUUUUGUGUAGGAGUGCUAUUUUUGGUUAUGUGUGUGCUUUCUAACUAGGAGUCAUAUGAGAAAAUCAAUAUCAAAUCACCCCCAUGUAUUGACUAUAGAAACAGCUUCGGAAAUGUUUUUCUUAGCGUAACACUUGAAGGGUUUCAAAAAACCUUGUACUGCUCCAUGACUGCUAAAACUACACAAGCUGGAGGUUUUUUUUGCACAUUGUAUGGGUGUAUUUGUUUAAAAAAAUAAAUAAAUAAAUAAAAAUACAAAAGAGGGGAAAAAAUGAACAUUUUGUUGCUCACCAGUUAUUCUUUCUACAGUGAAGAUUUUUACCGAUCAUCAGUGCCUGCUGACCUCAAGCAGUAUCUUAGAAAUCUUACUCCCAAGUUGUUAGCUUUUCACACACUCUAAGCAAAACUUGCCAGUUAGCAGAGUGAAAUGAAAUGUCAUCAAUAAUAACAACAGGUGAACUAUUUCAUUUAUCUGGGGGAGUCAGGACACAAAGCUAAAACCAAAACCCAAACAUCAUGACAGUAAUGUGUCGUUAAAAGGGACAUAUCGUUCACAUUUCCAGAUCUAGUUUUUUCCUCUUGGGCUCUGCUGGCAUAUCUCUGCAUGAUUUACAGUUCAAAUACUUCUU
This is a long non-coding RNA of Amphiprion ocellaris (clown anemonefish), 2094 nucleotides long. RefSeq lists it as uncharacterized. The record is from RefSeq and is a predicted model, not a curated record. The transcript is spliced from 4 exons. NCBI's taxonomy places the organism in Eukaryota, Metazoa, Chordata, Actinopteri, Pomacentridae.